UCUUUGAAAGUUUUUAAUAAUAGUUCAUUUUCACUGAGCAGAGUUGCUUAUAGCGCAAUCAAAGUA
RNAcentral lists this transfer RNA (66 nucleotides) under Pediculus schaeffi. Its description in RNAcentral is "tRNA-Glu". The record is from RNAcentral. Lineage: Eukaryota; Metazoa; Arthropoda; Insecta; Psocodea; Pediculidae.